This 759-nucleotide ribosomal RNA is filed under the name uncultured bacterium. RNAcentral's name for it is "bacterial LSU rRNA". It matches the Rfam family "Bacterial large subunit ribosomal RNA", at positions 183 to 994 of the family's 2925-position model. The record is from RNAcentral.
ACCUGGGGAACUGAAAUAUCUAAGUACCCAGAGGAAAGGACAUCAACCGAGACUCCGUUAGUAGUGACGAGCGAACGCGGACCAGGCCAGUGGCUUGAUAGAAGAUAACCAGAAGCGUCUGGAAAGGCGCGCCAUAGUGGGUGAUAGCCCCGUAUGGGUAAUGCUUUCUUCAAGUCCUUGAGUAGGGCGGGACACGUGAAAUCCUGUCUGAACAUGGGGGGACCACCCUCCAAGCCUAAGUACUCCUCAACGACCGAUAGCGAACCAGUACCGUGAGGGAAAGGUGAAAAGCACCCCGAUGAGGGGAGUGAAAUAGACCUGAAACCGAAUGCCUACAAUCAGUCGGAGCCACAUUAAGUGGUGACGGCGUACCUUUUGUAUAAUGGGUCAGCGAGUUACUUUGACGAGCAAGCCUGAGCCGUUAGGCGUAAGCGAAGCGAAAGCGAGUCUGAAUAGGGCGUUUAGUUCGUUUGAGUAGACCCGAAACCGGGUGAUCUAGCCAUGGGCAGGUUGAAGGUACGGUAACACGUACUGAAGGACCGAACCCACGUCUGUUGAAAAAGACGGGGAUGACCUGUGGCUAGGGGUGAAAGGCCAAUCAAACCCGGAGAUAGCUGGUUCUCUGCGAAAACUAUUUAGGUAGUGCGUCGUGUAUUACCGUCGGGGGUAGAGCACUGGAUGGGCUAGGGGGGCGCGAGCCUUACCAAACCUAACCAAACUCCGAAUACCGGCGAGUACAGCACGGCAGACAGACUAUGG